This 1958-nucleotide long non-coding RNA is filed under the name Androctonus crassicauda. Lineage: Eukaryota; Metazoa; Arthropoda; Arachnida; Scorpiones; Buthidae. The record is from RNAcentral.
GUUUAUAUAAAUUUCAUCUUUUAUAUUUUUAUAUUCUGCAUAUUGAUAGUUUUCCUUUCAUUUUCUAAAUCAAUAAAGUAUCAACCGUAUACUUAUCAUAAUGUCAGCAAUCAGGGUUGUCCCGAGUAAUAUUAGAAUUUAAGGCAAUUAAAAAUUGUGUCCUCCCCUGAAAUAUUAAAAAUUUAAAAAAUGUGACUCCUAUUGCCAGUUUUUCGAGAGAGGCCGGACUUGAUCCAGUUGAUCCCAUCGUGAGUGUUGGUCAGUCAGUGAUAGGUUCUAAAAGCGACCGCCACCAGAUAAAGUGUAUUCUACAUGAGCUAUGGCGACAUAAGUAAAUCAAAAAUAAUUACUAAUCUGUAUACCCGACGUUGCCUGUAUUUCUGCCACAUCAUUUAUAAGGAAAUAUUGUACUGUAUUAGUUUAUAUAAUUUAGUUAAUAUUAGUUUCUGGUUUUCACAGUUUUUCAUAGCUACAGUACAAAAUGUCUAUUUGUAAGCAAUGAUGAAAAAUAAAACAUUUUGGCGCAACUAUGAUGAUAUAGUAAUUCAUAUAUUGGAGCUUUUGUUAUUAUUACAUCAAUCAUUGUUUCGUCAUACGUCGAAAUUUUUAUGGUAUGCUUUGUUAUGUCAAUGCAUGUUGUUACAUAUUGCAUUGACGCAAUGAUGCUAUCCAUUGAUGACGUUUGUGACGUCAUGGAGACAUCACAUUUCUACGUCAACAACAGUCUGAGGGAUUUAAAUACAUAUUUUAAAUUACUAUCACAAAAUUCCCAACUCCUGAAACGAAUUUCAUCCAGAGUAGCCUAUGUUAUCAAAGAGUCAUGGGAAAUUGCAAAGUUUCUUUCAAAUAGUCAAACGGUAUGGGAAGCUAUGCGAAACACAAAGACAGACUGACAUCGCAUUUUAUGUAAAUAGAUUUAAAUUAUAUCUGUUGUACAUAUUUGAUUAAAAAUAAAUGGAUGUCAGAAAAUAAAAACUGGUUAAAAUGAUUUUUUAUUCUUAUAAGCAAUAUUUAUUUUAAAUAUACUGUAUAACAAAUACAUUUGUAAUAGUUAAAACAGCGCUGCUCAAAACUGUGAUUCGCUGAUCGGUACAAAUCCGCAACAAAAUGUCAUGUUUUCAGAAUCAUAACAUUAUAUAUUAUAGCUUAGUUUAUAGACAUUAUACUAACCAAACAUUAUAUAGUAAUAUGCACACUGGAUGAAGUCAGGAGGUAGGAGUGGGGAAAAUAUAUCUGUACCUAAUUUUGUUUCUUGAGACAAGUUGGAAAUCUUAUGCUAGUCUGUGAACAAAAAAAUUCUGGUUAGUGGAACACCGGAAAAAGAAAUAGCUGUCCCGUCACAUAAAAUAGUUUAAGAAACAUUGCUGUAGAGUACUGUAUUAUAUAUUUUUCGAUAAAAUCACAGAAACAUGAUAUACAAUUUAACGAUUUGUAUCAUUAUAUAUCGAUGUAAUUCUCUAAUAAAUAAGCAAUUGUUUGAUAAACAAUUGCAAGAACAAAAAAGACAUUUAAUUGCGCAAACAGAAAUAAUAACAAACAUCAAAAAUCAUCACAAAGAGCAGAAAAAUACAGAAAUGAAAAGAAAAAUCUGAAGUUUUUAUUUCUACAUUUUUCUGCUCUUUUUUGCUGAUUUUUGAUGUGACUUAUUUUUGUCUCUGAUAUUUUUCUUUGAAUAUCAAAGAAACAUAUAGAAUGUUGGCUAACUUGAUCCAAAUUCAGCAGCAGACCUAAUUCUCCAAUUCAUUAUUCUUUCACUAAAAUAUCAAAAUAUCAAUAACAUAAAGAUAGAGAGCCUAAACUGCUAUGAGUGUUAUUUAUACAUUCUUUUCUUCUUCUUCUCAUUACCAACUCAGCUAAGAUACCUAUAUGUAAGUUAUAAUGUAGGGACUCUUUCUUUUGGUAGUAAAAAUUGCCAAGAAAACUAAAAUAAUAAUUAUAAGAAAUUAACUCAAUUAAAU